UGGGGAAUAUUGGACAAUGGACCAAGAGUCUGAUCCAGCAAUUUUGUGUGCGCGAUGAAGUUUUCGGAAUGUAAAGUGCUNNCAANAGAAAAAAAAAANNCNNGGUACCAACAGAAGAAGUGACGGCUAAAUACGUGCCAGCAGCCGCGGUAAUACGUAUGUCACAAGCGUUAUCCGGAUUUAUUGGGCGUAAAGUGCGUCUAGGUGGUUAUGUAAGUCUGAUGUGAAAAUGCAGGGCUCAACUCUGUAUUGCGUUGGAAACUGUAUAACUAGAGUACUGGAGAGGUAAGCGGAACUACAAGUGUAGAGGUGAAAUUCGUAGAUAUUUGUAGGAAUGCCGAUGGGGAAGCCAGCUUACUGGACAGAUACUGACGCUGAAGCGCGAAAGCGUGGGUAGCAAACAGGAUUAGAUACCCUGGUAGUCCAUGCCGUAAACGAUGAUUACUAGGUGUUGGGGGUCGAACCUCAGUGCCCAAGCAAACGCGAUAAGUAAUCCGCCUGGGGAGUACGUACGCAAGUAUG
RNAcentral lists this ribosomal RNA (522 nucleotides) under uncultured bacterium. Its description in RNAcentral is "bacterial SSU rRNA". It matches the Rfam family "Bacterial small subunit ribosomal RNA", at positions 355 to 896 of the family's 1533-position model. The record is from RNAcentral.